This 809-nucleotide ribosomal RNA is filed under the name Thelebolales sp. RNAcentral describes it as "partial large subunit ribosomal RNA". It matches the Rfam family "Eukaryotic large subunit ribosomal RNA", at positions 73 to 903 of the family's 3401-position model. Lineage: Eukaryota; Fungi; Ascomycota; Leotiomycetes; Thelebolales. The record is from RNAcentral.
GAUUACCUCAGUAACGGCGAGUGAAGCGGUAACAGCUCAAAUUUGAAAUCUGGCAGCAAUGUCCGAGUUGUAAUUUGUAGAGGAUGUUUCGAGCAUGGUCUGGCCUAAGUUCCUUGGAACAGGACGUCAUAGAGGGUGAGAAUCCCGUAUGCGGUCAGGUGCCUACGCUCAUGUGAAACUCCUUCGACGAGUCGAGUUGUUUGGGAAUGCAGCUCAAAAUGGGUGGUAAAUUUCAUCUAAAGCUAAAUAUUGGCCAGAGACCGAUAGCGCACAAGUAGAGUGAUCGAAAGAUGAAAAGCACUUUGGAAAGAGAGUUAAACAGUACGUGAAAUUGUUGAAAGGGAAGCGCUUGCAACCAGACUUGCACGCAGCUGAUCAUCCGCUGUUCUCAGUGGUGCACUCGGUUGCGUUCAGGCCAGCAUCGGUUUUGGUGGUGGGAUAAAGGCCUUAGGAAUGUAGCUGCUUUCGGGCAGUGUUAUAGCCUAGGGUGCAAUGCCGCCUACUGGGACCGAGGACCGCGCUUCGGCUAGGAUGCUGGCGUAAUGGUUGUAAGCGACCCGUCUUGAAACACGGACCAAGGAGUCUAACAUCUAUGCGAGUGUUUGGGUGUCAAACCCAUACGCGUAAUGAAAGUGAACGGAGGUCAGAACCCUUAAGGGUGCAUGAUCGACCGGUCCUGAAGUCUUCGGAUGGAUCUGAGUAAGAGCAUAGCUGUUGGGACCCGAAAGAUGGUGAACUAUGCCUGAAUAGGGUGAAGCCAGAGGAAACUCUGGUGGAGGCUCGCAGCGGUUCUGACGUGCAAAUCGAUC